This 1239-nucleotide ribosomal RNA is filed under the name Escherichia coli. RNAcentral describes it as "partial 23S ribosomal RNA". It matches the Rfam family "Bacterial large subunit ribosomal RNA", at positions 1 to 1268 of the family's 2925-position model. The record is from RNAcentral. Lineage: Bacteria; Pseudomonadati; Pseudomonadota; Gammaproteobacteria; Enterobacterales; Enterobacteriaceae.
GGGUUGUGAGGUUAAGCGACUAAGCGUACACGGUGGAUGCCCUGGCAGUCAGAGGCGAUGAAGGACGUGCUAAUCUGCGAUAAGCGUCGGUAAGGUGAUAUGAACCGUUAUAACCGGCGAUUUCCGAAUGGGGAAACCCAGUGUGAUUCGUCACACUAUCAUUAACUGAAUCCAUAGGUUAAUGAGGCGAACCGGGGGAACUGAAACAUCUAAGUACCCCGAGGAAAAGAAAUCAACUGAGAUUCCCCCAGUAGCGGCGAGCGAACGGGGAGGAGCCCAGAGCCUGAAUCAGUGUGUGUGUUAGUGGAAGCGUCUGGAAAGGCGCGCGAUACAGGGUGACAGCCCCGUACACAAAAAUGCACAUGCUGUGAGCUCGAUGAGUAGGGCGGGACACGUGGUAUCCUGUCUGAAUAUGGGGGGACCAUCCUCCAAGGCUAAAUACUCCUGACUGACCGAUAGUGAACCAGUACCGUGAGGGAAAGGCGAAAAGAACCCCGGCGAGGGGAGUGAAAAAGAACCUGAAACCGUGUACGUACAAGCAGUGGGAGCACAGAGCAGUCUGUGUGACUGCGUACCUUUUGUAUAAUGGGUCAGCGACUUAUAUUCUGUAGCAAGGUUAACCGAAUAGGGGAGCCGAAGGGAAACCGAGUCUUAACUGGGCGUUAAGUUGCAGGGUAUAGACCCGAAACCCGGUGAUCUAGCCAUGGGCAGGUUGAAGGUUGGGUAACACUAACUGGAGGACCGAACCGACUAAUGUUGAAAAAUUAGCGGAUGACUUGUGGCUGGGGGUGAAAGGCCAAUCAAACCGGGAGAUAGCUGGUUCUCCCCGAAAGCUAUUUAGGUAGCGCCUCGUGAAUUCAUCUCCGGGGGUAGAGCACUGUUUCGGCAAGGGGGUCAUCCCGACUUACCAACCCGAUGCAAACUGCGAAUACCGGAGAAUGUUAUCACGGGAGACACACGGCGGGUGCUAACGUCCGUCGUGAAGAGGGAAACAACCCAGACCGCCAGCUAAGGUCCCAAAGUCAUGGUUAAGUGGGAAACGAUGUGGGAAGGCCCAGACAGCCAGGAUGUUGGCUUAGAAGCAGCCAUCAUUUAAAGAAAGCGUAAUAGCUCACUGGUCGAGUCGGCCUGCGCGGAAGAUGUAACGGGGCUAAACCAUGCACCGAAGCUGCGGCAGCGACGCUUAUGCGUUGUUGGGUAGGGGAGCGUUCUGUAAGCCUGCGAAGGUGUGCUGUGAGG